CAAGGAUCGCCCUCCGUCAGCGCGUCGCGCCCACGGAGGUAUUUUUG
This 47-nucleotide small RNA is filed under the name uncultured Ascidiaceihabitans sp. RNAcentral's name for it is "ffh sRNA". It matches the Rfam family "ffh sRNA". The record is from RNAcentral. Lineage: Bacteria; Pseudomonadati; Pseudomonadota; Alphaproteobacteria; Rhodobacterales; Paracoccaceae.